This 439-nucleotide ribosomal RNA is filed under the name uncultured bacterium. RNAcentral describes it as "partial 16S ribosomal RNA". It matches the Rfam family "Bacterial small subunit ribosomal RNA", at positions 339 to 795 of the family's 1533-position model. The record is from RNAcentral.
CUACGGGAUGCAGCAGUGGGGAAUAUUGCACAAUGGAGGAAACUCUGAUGCAGCAACGCCGCGUGGAGGAUGACACUUUUCGGAGCGUAAACUCCUUUUAUAUAGGAAGAAGAUGACGGUACUAUAUGAAUAAGCGCCGGCUAACUCCGUGCCAGCAGCCGCGGUACUACGGAGGGCGCAAGCGUUACUCGGAAUCACUGGGCGUAAAGAGCGUGUAGGCGGAUUAAAAAGUCAGAAGUGAAAUCCUAUAGCUUAACUAUAGAACUGCUUCUGAAACUCUUAAUCUAGAAUAUGGGAGAGGUAGAUGGAAUUUCUGGUGUAGGGGUAAAAUCCGUAGAGAUCAGAAGGAAUACCGAUUGCGAAGGCGAUCUACUAGAACAUUAUUGACGCUGCGACGCGAAAGCGUGGGGAGCAAACAGGAUUAGAUACCCCAGUAGUC